Molecule: ribosomal RNA, 434 nt
Filed under: uncultured bacterium
Lineage: Bacteria
Description: partial 16S ribosomal RNA
Rfam family: Bacterial small subunit ribosomal RNA
Source: RNAcentral
AGCGAACGCUGGCGGCAGGCCUAACACAUGCAAGUCGAACGAACCUUUCGGGGUUAGUGGCGUACGGGUGAGUAACACGUGGGAACGUGCCUUUAGGUUCGGAAUAACUCAGGGAAACUUGUGCUAAUACCGAAUGUGCCCUUCGGGGGAAAGAUUAAUCGCCUUUAGAGCGGCCCGCGUCUGAUUAGCUAGUUGGUUGAGGUAAUGGCUCACCAAGGCGACGAUCAGUAGCUGGUCUGAGAGGAUGAUCAGCCACAUUGGGACUGAGACACGGCCCAAACUCCUACGGGAGGCAGCAGUGGGGAAUCUUGCGCAAUGGGCGAAAGCCUGACGCAGCCAUGCCGCGUGAAUGAUGAAGGUCUUAGGAUUGUAAAAUUCUUUCACCGGGGACGAUAAUGACGGUACCCGGAGAAGAAGCCCCGGCUAACUUCGUG